This 484-nucleotide ribosomal RNA is filed under the name uncultured bacterium. Its description in RNAcentral is "partial 16S ribosomal RNA". It matches the Rfam family "Bacterial small subunit ribosomal RNA", at positions 30 to 507 of the family's 1533-position model. The record is from RNAcentral.
AUUGAACGCUGGCGGCAGGCCUAACACAUGCAAGUCGAGCGGAUGAAGGGAGCUUGCUCCUGGAUUCAGCGGCGGACGGGUGAGUAAUGCCUAGGAAUCUGCCUGGUAGUGGGGGAUAACGUCCGGAAACGGGCGCUAAUACCGCAUACGGCCUGAGGGAGCAAGUGGGGGAUCUUCGGACCUCACGCUAUCAGAUGAGCCUAGGUCGGAUUAGCUAGUUGGUGGGGUAAAGGCCUACCAAGGCGACGAUCCGUAACUGGUCUGAGAGGAUGAUCAGUCACACUGGAACUGAGACACGGUCCAGACUCCUACGGGAGGCAGCAGUGGGGAAUAUUGGACGAUGGGCGAAAGCCUGAUCCAGCCAUGCCGCGUGUGUGAAGAAGGUCUUCGGAUUGUAAAGCACUUUAAGUUGGGAGGAAGGGCAGUAAGUUAAUACCUUGCUGUUUUGACGUUACCAACAGAAUAAGCACCGGCUAACUUCGUG